This 253-nucleotide ribosomal RNA is filed under the name uncultured bacterium. RNAcentral describes it as "partial 16S ribosomal RNA". It matches the Rfam family "Bacterial small subunit ribosomal RNA", at positions 524 to 776 of the family's 1533-position model. The record is from RNAcentral.
UACGUAGGGGGCGAGCGUUGUCCGGAGUGACUGGGCGUAAAGCGCGCGCAGGCGGUUAGACACGCCGGUCGUGAAAGCCCCCGGCUCAACCGGGGCGGGUCGAUCGGGACGGUCUGACUGGAGGGUGUCAGAGGGGGGUGGAACGCCGCGUGGAGCAGUGAAAUGCGUAGAUAUGCGGCAGAACACCGGAGGCGAAGGCGGCCCCCUGGGGCACAUCUGACGCUGAGGCGCGAAGGCGCGGGGAGCGAACAGG